Molecule: unclassified non-coding RNA, 3728 nt
Filed under: Leishmania donovani
Lineage: Eukaryota; Euglenozoa; Kinetoplastea; Trypanosomatida; Trypanosomatidae
Description: gene:LdHU3.07.0200(CDS-product:Eukaryotic_membran e_protein_family_putative)
Source: RNAcentral
GUGUGCACGCGCGCGCCUCCUGUGUGCGUGCCCGGACCCGUCGCUGCUUCAGAGAGCAGGCGCACAGCCUGGCCUCCCUUUGCCCUCGACACACCAAGCCAGCAAGACGCGGAGAGACACACACGCAGAGAAGCGCGGAGCGACCACCACCACCACAACUCAUCUGCACAGACCUAACCACACAUCGAGAGCCAAGCAUGAAGUGGGACUGGGGUGUUCUGCGGCGGCAGACGCUGGAGUUGAUGUACGGUGCCACCGCCGAGCAGCGGCACCAUCAGUCGCAGCACCGAGAUCAGAAGCAGGCGUACGAGGCCUUCAUGGCGAUGUCCGCCAGCGCCGCGGGUGAACCGCAUUGCAGUGGGGGCAGCGCGGCUCCUAGCGCUUUCCCGCCUGCCGCUGGGAGGCGGCACCGCGACCACGGAUACGCCGCUGUCCGAAAACACUUCCAGCGCAUCCCAGAUAUGUUUCUCGACAUAGAGUUUUACUUUGCCAUCACUGGCGUGGGCCUCUUCGACCAUCUCGUCGGGCUGCUGCUGCUGCCGCUGAAGGUGCUCACACAGUGGCGACGGUGCGAACUACGGGACAUUAUUACACUGCUUGUUCUCACCAUGACACUGGGUAGCUACUGGGUUGCGGGUCUGGCGACAACGCAGCUGUACUCCUACCUCUACCACGCCGUACGACGCACGUCGUUCAUCAAGGUCGUCAUGAUCUUCAGCAUCCUCGAUGUGGCGGACAAGAUCCUCUCAUCCCUCUCGCAGGACUCGCUCGAGGUGCUCUACGCCGCCGUCGAAGAUGAGUACGCCUACCGCUGCUCUCGCCGCCGCCAGACCAAGCCAGCUGCGGCAGACACACCGACGAAGAGGGCUGCUUUUGGGAGUGCGUGUGCAGGUCGCGACGACGCCGGAUCCGCCAGCGCCCGACAGCACACGCCUCCAUCGCGGUGGCUCCUCGCCGGCAGCGCGAUCGCCGCCUGCAUCAGCACCUCCUGCCACUCCCUCUCUCUCCUGCUGCACGUCGUCACGUUGAACGUCACGAUAAACGCGGAGGGAAACUCGUUGCUGGCGCUGCUGGUCGGCAACAACCUCACGGAGCUGAAGAGCGUCGUGCUCAAGAAGAGCACGCCGGAGUCGCUGCACAGCGUGUGCGCCCUCGACGCGCUGGAGCGCAUGCAGUACGUCGUCUUCUUCUUUGUUAUGCUGCUGCACCACAUGCACGAGCGCUUCACAGACUUCGCCGUCGCAGACGUCUUCGUCAUCCUCUGCGUCGAGGUGGCCAUCGACUUUGUUAAGCAUCUCUUCGUCGUUCGCUUCAACGGCAUUCCGCCUUCGAUGUUCCGGGCCUACUCGCAGCUGGCGUUGCUAGACUUGAGCUGCGAGGCGGUGCUGUGGCGGCUGCCGUCGCUGGAGGUAGUGGCGAGCGGGCCCGGCAGCGGCGUCGCAACGCGCAUGGAAGAAGCGGCCGAGCUGCUCACGCCUGCUUUCGGCUUUGCCCCCAAGAACGUUAAGCGGAAUGGCUUCGACGCCAUCGCGUAUGCGGCGCUGCUGCUGUGGAGCUGCGAGCGAGUGGCGGGGUACCUCCUGUGGCAAGCGCCUUUGGUGUGCGUCUUGCUCGUGCUGAUCCUCGCGCUUCUGAAGCUCAUGUUGUCCAGUGUCGUCCACGGCGUGUGCGCGCGCUUCACUCUUCGGACGUUAGUGGUAUCCCCACCGUCGUGGCCGCCGCUGCCACAGCCAAGCGCUGUCUCUGCGCCUCUCGACGGCGGCAGCUGCAGUGAAAGCGGCGCCAGCCAGCGAAGGAGCGCGUCUCUGACGAGCUCGCUGGUCUGCACGUGGGGUGUUCGGAUGGGUGUCUCACCGAUCAGCACGCCGCGCGCGACGCCCGUCGGCGGCAGCGGCCACGCACACAUCAGUGCGGCAACGUCUUCCUCUGUGAAGAGCAAGAGUAGCCCAGCAGCAGUGCGCACGUUGGUGCGGCUGACGCCGCUUCUACUGGCUCUGCUGAAGGCAGAUCGCUUCGACCUACAGGCUGGCAAGGCGAAGCGCACCUACUGACGUCAUAUCCUCAUCUGUCGUUUUGUAGGUGGGUGGCCGUGUGUGCCUCGCGCGCGCAGGCUGGCAUAGCGCGCCCCUCCACUCCUCCUCCUUCUCUGCUGCGCACCUAGCACCUCUUGGCCCUUGGCCAGCGGAGCUCUUGUGCGUGUGUGUGCAGCUGCAGCGGCGCAGAGAGCCCACGUGCGUACAGGCCCAUGUACUUCUGUGAGCGCACCGCAUGGCAUCUGACCCACGCGUACGUGCACCACUCGCGCAGCCCCUACCCCCUCCUUCGGCUUCGACGCCCCUCUCUCCGCACUGCUCCCCUGUCUCAGCCGCUGUGCAUCUGUCGCCGUUCACGCUCUGUCCUUCCGUGGGUGUGUCACCGACGCGAUGUCAUAGCACGCACGUGCACGUGCACGACGCAGGCGCCGUUCUCGUCGAACGAAAUCGUGGGGCCGCUCGCCAGCAGCGCGUGUCAGUCGAGUCUCAGCAACCGCGGCAGCCACCGCGCCACCGGCAACGCACGGUGAGAGGAAGACACCAGGCGCCGUCCCGGUGGCGGUGGAGACGCGCUGGUGGGCAUGUCCUUGAAACCGUGGCACUACGUGCCGCUGCCUCUCUCACAGGUGGUGCUUCUCCCUGCGACACAAGCAGCGCAUGGCGGAUAAGGUGCAACAGCAAUGCUGGUUUCCGCCCUUCUGUGUGACGAUGAUCGCGGUGGUGCUUCUCGGGUCCAGGUCCGAGAAGCACCCGCUUUUGCGCCGAGCGUGUGCGUCGUCCAUCACGUGAAUGGUGCGCAGCCCGUUCCCCUCUCGGAGAUGCGGGGCGUACUUUUCCUGAGCGCCUUCCGUAUCGACGCGGAGGCUGCCACCCCGCGAAGUGCGACGGUCUCCGCCAGUACGCCUGUGAAGGGCAACAGCGCCCGCUGCCCGUGGGCGAGCAGCUGGUAGAACAGCAGUGUCAACGCGUGGGCGCCGGUCCUGUCCAACAAGAGAGCAACCCCCGCUGAGCAUCCCCAGCCGCAUCUGUGGGCACGCAAACCCAGCCGCCGCACCCGCAAUGGUGUUUGACUACGACGCCGACACAGGAAGCUACACCGUCUUCUGGCCCCUAGCAGCCUCCUGCACGGCGGUGAGCUCCGUGCUGGGCGUAAUGAAGACGCCGAAGAGACGCGUGGCGUACAAGGGGUCGGCGGUGACGCAGGAACUGUGGAUUGCAGUGCACCGAAACGGACCUCACCCGACACGGCGAGAACGCCUCAGCGGCGGCGGCGGCGAGUACAGCACGUCGUGCGCCGCAUCAAGACGCGUCGCUAAACCGUCGCAGAGGUGCAGCCCCCCACUGCCGCCGCCGGGGCGGUGGUGCAAACGCACAGGACCGGACACACACAACGGGCGCUGGUGCUGGCGGCGUACCUGGCCCACGCCACUGACUGCGGCUACGUGAAGGACGUGCCGCGAGACAACCCCAUCGAGGAGUAUGCGGCUCGCGUUGGUGCGCGGCUGGAAGCGCUGCCGAACAGCAUCGUCAAGUGCAUCGAGGGGCAAUCGGUGUCGAGAGUUCGGAGGGGGAGCAGGCUGCUGUCCAAUGUUAAUAACUCUCCCUGUGUCUGUAUAUGCGUCGCUGCGCACGAGCAGCUGAAUCUCUCUGUUAGUCUCUUUCUAUUCUGUGAGCUGUCGAGGCUCGCUUGCCCAU